Molecule: long non-coding RNA, 243 nt
Filed under: Elaeis guineensis (African oil palm)
Lineage: Eukaryota; Viridiplantae; Streptophyta; Magnoliopsida; Arecales; Arecaceae
Description: long non-coding RNA (EGUI_LNC042555)
Source: RNAcentral
CGAUGAUGGCUGGAACCGAGAGUUCGAAGUCUGAAGAAGUCGAGCUUCCUUAGAGCUUUUUACCUUUUAUUCUAUGUAUUCCUAAGUCUACAAAUCUGAUGUCUGACUGAUCUGGUUCAGGUCAGCACAAUGUCAUAUCUGACUAACCUAGUCAGUAUGGGUGAACUCAAGUCAACAAGUAACCUAAUACAAAACGUAAUCUUCCAAAAUGAUCGGGUAAGUAAAGAUCAGUAGGGGUCCCCC